Molecule: non-coding RNA, 2318 nt
Organism: Mauremys mutica (yellowpond turtle)
Lineage: Eukaryota; Metazoa; Chordata; Testudines; Geoemydidae
Source: the annotation of a RefSeq genome assembly
AGAAGAAACUUCUCCUCUGGACGGAUAAGUACUAAUGUCCAGGUAUCUAUCAACUUCUUUUGAAGCAUCUGGUACUGACCAUGGCUGGAAAAGGGCAUUGGACUAGAUAGAACAUGGUCGAUUACUUUGUGCCUAUAAACCUCUAGAGUUUUUGCAGAGGGACUUAUCACUGUGGGAACAAAGUGUUGCAUCCUCUCCACUGACAUUUGAGGAUGGAUCAGACCGCUUCAAAUGCCAGAUCUCCCAGACUCUGAACCUUCUAUCUACCAACUGAAGUCCAAAGAUGGAAAUUUCUCAGCUUGCCUUAUCACGGACUUCGCCCCUGAUGGCAUCUCAGUUGGGAAAUCAUAUGAUGAUACAACAGAACGCAAUGGCUCCAUUGUGCAGGUGAAAAACCCAUACAACGAAAAAACAGAAGCAAGCUAUGGGACGGUGCUUUGGGAAGAGCAUGAGAACUUUGACUGUUUCGCUACACAUGGAAAUAGAGAUUUCAAGAUGAGUGACAGUGACGAGGAAGGUGACACCUGCAGGAUAACAGAGCUGGAUGACAAUUUUGAGACAGACGAGAAGCUGAACCUCCUGUCAUUCACGCUGCUGGGCCUGAGAAUCGUUUUUGUGAAAGGAGUGGCGGUUAACCUGCUACUGAGCAUCUGGCUGUGGAAGAGCUAAAGAGUGGAAGGAAAGAGGACAGAUGGAAUCUGGAGUGAUGGGAAUUCCUCAGAGACCUGGUGUCAUGUCUUCACCUUCCCAUGCAGCAGGAAAUAUGAUGCAAUGAAUGAUCCCCAUAUCACCUCUGUAUAUAGGCCUGUUGUAUAAUGAUCUGAUGUGCUUUCCCUUAGCAAGUUUUAGAAGGAUCUCACCUACCUAGCCUGGUUUUUCCAUGACCCUCAUCCCUUUCGCCCUCCACAGACUGACACAUUUAUCCUCAUAAGCUCCCAGUGUGAGGCAAGGAAUUUUUUGUUAAGUAGAGUUGGUCAACAAAUGUGUGGAAACAUUUUUUGAUGGAAAAUUAGGGUUUCAAUUUUUUUUGGCAGAAAGUUCCCAUCUUCCUAGGGAAAAAAAACUUCAAAUCUUCAUCAGAAACUCAAAAUGUUUGGCUAAAAACUGAAUAUUUUCAGGGUUUUUUAAGUUUUUGGCCACAAGAUUUUUUCAGUUUUUGUCUGAAAAUUUUCAGUUUUCAGUUGUCAAACACCAAAAACAACUUUUUAAAACAUUUUUUUCCAGGGAAAAUUUCAACAAAAAGUGAUUUAAAAAAAAAUUAGUGUUCAUUGAAAUUUUCUGCAGAACAAACCAGCUUUACCAUUAACCCUAUUUUGAAAGGGGGAAAUUGAAGCACAGAGAAUGAGGCUGAGAUUUUCAAAGCCACCUAAGGGCUUUGGGCUCCUGCUUCCCUUGGAAAUCAAUGGGAAUUGUGCAUUAAAAUCCCCUAGAUUGAAUUUUACACUCGCUGCCACACACUGGGAUUUUCAAAGCAGCCUAGAGGAAUGAGGCAUCCAUCUCCACUUGAAAUUCAAUAGCAUUUAGGCAGCUAGUUCCUUUGAAAAUCCAGCCAACACAUUCUGAUAGCGGUGGGUUCUUUAAGGCAGAUGCGUGGAAGUUGAUGCUACACAAAUUCAGCCUAGCACUAAAGUGCAAAUUAACAGUCAGAGUAAUUAACCAUUGGAUGGUGUUAACUAGGCGUGUGUGGAUUUCCCCUCACUUGUGCUCUUUACAUCAAGACUGGGAUCCGUGGCCAACACUCUCUGGCUUGUGUUAUAUGCAGGAGUUGGGCUAGAGCAGAAUGGUCCCGUCUGGCCUCUUGAAGAGACUCAUACAAAUGACUCCAUGCCACAGUCUCUUCCCAUCCCCGCUCUGCAGAAUUGGCGGCCAGGUCCCGGGCGGUAGAAGCCAGCACCACCUCACCGAUUUUCAUGCAGUGACAGCAGUUCUGGAGGACGUGCAUUACCCAAACACAAGACGGGCGUUAGUCACAGACAGGUUCUGGGCUCAUUGCAGGGCAGAUGUAAUAGCCAGGAAGUCAGACUAGACUUUCAUGCUGUAAACGCUAUAAAUUUAUACCAGCUCUGGACUGAUCCUACAUUUUAUUGUUCCAAUCUGCAUUUAUAUUGUCCCUUAGCUCUGUUAACCUGACUUUCAAAGUGUAUCUCCCUAUUUUAAACAUUUUUAAAUGUGAGAUUUGCUCAUUUAUGCUUUGGAAAAGAUUUUAUCAUUUGUUUUCAUUUCCUGCCGAGCUUCUUUGUAUGGCGUUGCUGAGAUGAUCAUGUACUCAAACUUCCUCUCCAGUCCGCCCUGGGCUGCUAGUAAAGAGCUUGGCUGAU